This 464-nucleotide ribosomal RNA is filed under the name uncultured bacterium. Its description in RNAcentral is "partial 16S ribosomal RNA". It matches the Rfam family "Bacterial small subunit ribosomal RNA", at positions 338 to 795 of the family's 1533-position model. The record is from RNAcentral.
CCUACGGGAGGCAGCAGUGGGGAAUCUUCCGCAAUGGGCGAAAGCCUGACGGAGCAACGCCGCGUGAUCGAAUGAAGGCCUGAGUGUUGUAAAGAUCUGUUGACAGGGACGAAUAAGCCAUGCGCAUAGUUUGGUGUAUGACGGUACCUGUUUAGAAAGCUCCGGCUAACUACGUGCCAGCAGCCGCGGUAAUACGUAGGGAGCAAGCGUUGUCCGGAAUUACUGGGCGUAAAGAGCGCGUAGGUGGGUGCUUAAGUCAGGUGUGAAAACUCUGGGCUCAACCUGGAGACUGCACUUGAAACUGGGUAUCUUGAGGGCAGGAGAGGAAAGUGGAAUGCCGAGUGUAGCGGUGAAAUGCGUAGAUAUUAGGAGGAACACCAGUGGCGAAGGCGACUUUCUGGACUGUACCUGACGCUGAGGCGCGAAAGCGUGGGUAGCGAACGGGAUUAGAUACCCGUGUAGUC